AGCUCCAAUAGCGUAUAUUAAUGUUGUUGCAGUUAAAAAGCUCGUAGUUGGAUUUCUGGUGGGAGUGGCCGGUCCGCCGUAAGGUGUGUACUUGGUUGUCUCCCGUCAUCCUUGUGGGAACUGCUCUGGCAUUAAGUUGUCGGGGUUAGGGAACACAUCGUUUACUGUGAAAAAAUUAGAGUGUUUAAAGCAGGCUUAUGCCGUUGAAUACAUUAGCAUGGAAUAAUAAGAUAGGACUUUGGCGUCUAUUUUGUUGGUUUGCACACCAAGGUAAUGAUUAAUAGGGAUAGUUGGGGGUAUUCGUAUUUAAUUGUCAGAGGUGAAAUUCUUGGAUUUAUGAAAGACGAACUUCUGCGAAAGCAACAACGCCCCGGGAGAGAGCAAACCAGAAGGAGAAAAAGAAAACAAAAGCCCCCCGCAGCUGCCCCCA
This 430-nucleotide ribosomal RNA is filed under the name uncultured eukaryote. RNAcentral's name for it is "SSU rRNA". It matches the Rfam family "Eukaryotic small subunit ribosomal RNA", at positions 587 to 1061 of the family's 1831-position model. The record is from RNAcentral.